CCACCGCCACCGCCACCACCGCAUCCACCCCCAGCUCCAGUAGCACCAGCAUCGACCCCAAUAAUCCCACCCGCUACAAUACCACCAUGAAUAUGAUGAUGAUGGUUAUUGCGAUGAAUAAAACAACCACCAUCAGAUCCGAAACUUGCUCCUACUGCUCGGCACAAUAGACUCAACAUUAAAACACAGGCGAAUAUUGAGACAGCUACGAUGAUGAAUAUUACAAAUGGUUCCAUCUUCUCAAAUAAUACUAUUUGCCCAGUUGCACGUUAAUUUAAAACAUUCUUUCAUCUUAGUUGCUUUUAUAGUCGCAAUAUGUUUACCUCGUCAACAUAGGGUCGUUUUCUUGUGCUAUUGUUUUCUUGUGUGUUUAAGGAACUAACUCGUUGAAAUGUAUGUAUAUGUUAUCGUGUUUUGUUUAUUUGUGCAACACAAGUUGCUAAUAUUGUGGCGCAUUGGUUUUGUUGAAAAUGUGCAAGAAUGUUGACAAUGUGCAAG
This 498-nucleotide long non-coding RNA is filed under the name Arachis ipaensis. RNAcentral describes it as "long non-coding RNA (AIPA_LNC000944)". The record is from RNAcentral. Lineage: Eukaryota; Viridiplantae; Streptophyta; Magnoliopsida; Fabales; Fabaceae.